CGUUGGGACUCUGAGCUC
RNAcentral lists this microRNA (18 nucleotides) under Callorhinchus milii (elephant shark). Its description in RNAcentral is "eshark_mir-193_3". Lineage: Eukaryota; Metazoa; Chordata; Chondrichthyes; Chimaeriformes; Callorhinchidae. The record is from RNAcentral.